GUUGCUCAGCAGGGUGGAGUCGCUGCCCUUCCCAUCCACGGACACCGAGUGCUCGCCCUUCUUCACCAGCAGGCAGACGUGGUGGCCCUGGAUGGAGCGGCUGUACAUGGAGGCGCAGGAGUCCACUCGCUCCACCAUAGAAAAGUGGUGGUGAAAACAUAUCUUUGCCAGAAGGUUCUGGAAGGACAUACUGAUGCCAUCGACUCUGACUGAGCUCAUGCUCAGGUCCCCAGACCCCAGCAGCUUGGCAAAGGCAUCACUGUAGCAGGUUCUGUGUCUUACCCUGGCAGUUCUGUGGGUCUCACAGUCAUGCAGCCUGAAGGAAUCGAUCUAUCGUCCAUCUCAUUAUUUUUAUUGGCUUCAUGAUUUCUCCCAGUAGAGGUGCACCAUAAUUCUAGAGAACAAUGGUGAAGUGGAGCAUCUUCCAUAUUUUAAGAACCGUAUAUAUUUCCUUCUUUGUGGACUAUUAAUAUCUUUUGAUGAUGUCAGGGUUUGCAACGGAAUAGAUUUAAUACAGGACACAUAAUUUAUAGGAUUAUUUUAUAAUAUUUACCCAAAAAGUCAAAUGCAGAAGAGCGCAAGAGAUCUGUCCACAUGCUAGAGACCUGAAGAAUCCAGCAGAGGGCCUGGAUCCUGUAAUGUCCUCCACAAGUCCCUCUGGAGGCCCUGAGCCCGCAGCAGUCUCAUGCAAGUCUGUAUCAAGGACCUGCACCGGGAAGGUCCAAAGGCCGGUGGUGGAAGCUAGAAAGUCUGCACUGGCAGCGUGAAGGAUCUGCACUGGAGCCAGGAAGCGAGGCUCGAGGCAAAGAUCAGAGCUCCCUUGAAGAGAAGAAGCAAAGACCUGAGCUCCUCUAACAAGAACAGCUGAGUUCUUAUCAGGGAAACCAGCUAUGGCAAGCUUCUUCAGGAAAAUCAGCAGCAUACAAUCUUCCCUUCCAGUUCUCCUUUCAUGCCAUUGGGAACAAUCCUCAGGUGGGUCUUCAAUGCCCAGAACCAUGCUGACUCAGUUCAGCUGGGCGUUCCCACUUAAACAGACCAUUAGUUAAUCCAUCACAGCCUUCAUCCAUCUUCCUGUUGGGUUAGUCUAUAUUUACAGAACCGAAAGUAUUAAAUACAUUUUAAAUGA
This is a long non-coding RNA of Heterocephalus glaber (naked mole-rat), 1126 nucleotides long. RefSeq lists it as uncharacterized. NCBI's taxonomy places the organism in Eukaryota, Metazoa, Chordata, Mammalia, Rodentia, Bathyergidae. The record is from RefSeq and is a predicted model, not a curated record.